UACGUAGGGAGCGAGCGUUGUCCGGAUUUAUUGGGCGUAAAGCGCGCGUAGGCGGUUUGGUAAGUCGGGUGUGAAACCUCCAAGCUUAACUUGGAGCUGCCACUCGAAACUGCCAUGACUUGAGUUCGGUAGGGGAACACGGAAUUCCAGGUGUAGCGGUGAAAUGCUUAGAUAUCUGGAGGAACACCAGUGGCGAAGGCGGUGUUCUGGGCCGAUACUGACGCUGAGGUGCGAAAGCGUGGGGAGCAAACAGG
This 254-nucleotide ribosomal RNA is filed under the name uncultured bacterium. Its description in RNAcentral is "partial 16S ribosomal RNA". It matches the Rfam family "Bacterial small subunit ribosomal RNA", at positions 524 to 776 of the family's 1533-position model. The record is from RNAcentral.